GGAUAUAGCUUAGUUGGUAGAGUGCUUGUCUAUCAUGCACAAGGCCCUGGGUUCAAUCCCCAGCACCA
This 68-nucleotide transfer RNA is filed under the name Marmota monax (woodchuck). RNAcentral describes it as "tRNA.Asp". The record is from RNAcentral. Lineage: Eukaryota; Metazoa; Chordata; Mammalia; Rodentia; Sciuridae.